GUCAAUGGACGAGAGUCUGAACCAGCCAAGUAGCGUGCAGGAUGACGGCCCUAUGGGUUGUAAACUGCUUUUAUAAGGGAAUAAAGUGAGUCUCGUGAGACUUUUUGCAUGUACCUUAUGAAUAAGGACCGGCUAAUUCCGUGCCAGCAGCCGCGGUAAUACGGAAGGUCCGGGCGUUAUCCGGAUUUAUUGGGUUUAAAGGGAGCGUAGGCCGGAGAUUAAGCGUGUUGUGAAAUGUAGAUGCUCAACAUCUGAACUGCAGCGCGAACUGGUUUCCUUGAGUACGCACAAAGUGGGCGGAAUUCGUGGUGUAGCGGUGAAAUGCUUAGAUAUCACGAAGAACUCCGAUUGCGAAGGCAGCUCACUGGAGCGCAACUGACGCUGAAGCUCGAAAGUGCGGGUAUCGAACAGGAUUAGAUACCCUGGUAGUCCGCACGGUAAACGAUGGAUGCCCGCUGUUGGUCUGAAUAGGUCAGCGGCCAAGCGAAAGCAUUAAGCAUCCCACCUGGGGAGUACGCCGGCAACGGUGCAACUCAAAGGAAUUGACGGAA
Molecule: ribosomal RNA, 551 nt
Filed under: uncultured organism
Description: bacterial SSU rRNA
Rfam family: Bacterial small subunit ribosomal RNA
Source: RNAcentral